CCGUCGUCGACGUCGCCGGUGCUUGCACCUCUGCUGCUGCCCGCGACCCCCCCAGCCCCUCUCUCCGCCCGAGGCACCGAGUCGGCCCUACCGCCGAUCCCCGCCGGGCGCUGCGAGGCCCCUGGCGUUGGCAAGGCCGGGCCCGGCCCCGACGCCGCUCCGCCUCGCGCAGAUCCCGACUGUCUCGAAUCGCGUCUCAGCGCUGUCUUCUUUCCCAGGACUGGUUUCGUAGGGGCCGCAAGCGCGCAGCCUCGCCCCCCGCCGGAGCGCCCCGGCCCGGCGCCGGAGCGGCCCCUUGUAGACGUUCGAGGAGCCUGCUGAGUGCCGUCCCGGCGCCCGACCGCCCACCGUCCGGCCCGCUGGCCCGCUUCUUCCUGAUGCAGACUGCCGUCCACUAGAGGCUGGACGGACCCCCGAGGUGAUUCAUGGCAGGGGACGUGGAAGGAUUCUGUUCCUCCAUCCAUGACACCAGUGUCUCUGCUGGGUUCAGAGCACUGUAUGAGGAGGGAUUGCUUCUUGAUGUCACUCUGGUUAUUGAAGAUCAUCAGUUCCAGGCCCAUAAAGCACUCUUGGCCACCCAGAGUGAUUACUUCAGAAUUAUGUUUACCGCAGACAUGAGGGAGCGAGAUCAGGACAAAAUUCAUUUAAAAGGUCUAACUGCUACCGGUUUCAGCCACGUCCUUCAGUUUAUGUACUAUGGAACUAUAGAACUGAGUAUGAGUACUGUUCAUGAGAUUCUUCAGGCUGCCAUGUAUGUUCAACUUAUAGAAGUGGUGAAGUUCUGCUGCUCUUUUCUAUUAGCAAAAAUCUGCUUAGAAAACUGUGCAGAAAUUAUGAGACUCUUAGAUGAUUUCGGUGUAAACAUCGAGGGAGUCAGGGAGAAGUUGGACGCCUUUCUGCUAGACAACUUCGUACCACUCAUGUCCAGGCCUGACUUCCUGUCUUAUCUGAGCUUUGAGAAGCUCAUGUCUUACUUGGAUAAUGAUCAUCUGAGCAGGUUCCCAGAGAUAGAGCUGUACGAGGCUGUGCAGUCUUGGCUGCGGCAUGAUAGAAGACGCUGGAGACAUACCGAUACCAUCAUUCAGAACAUCAGGUUUUGUUUGAUGACCCCAUCCAGUGUUUUUGAGAAGGUUAAGACAUCAGAAUUUUAUAGAUACUCCCGACAGCUGCGCUAUGAAGUUGAUCAAGCCUUGAAUUACUUUCAGAACGUUCACCAGCAGCCUCUGUUGGACAUGAAAUCAAGCCGCAUCCGCUCUGCCAAACCCCAAACUACAGUAUUCCGAGGCAUGAUUGGACAUAGCAUGGUUAACAGUAAAAUACUUCUCUUAAAGAAACCAAGAGUCUGGUGGGAACUGGAGGGCCCACAAGUACCUCUGCGUCCGGACUGCCUUGCUAUCGUGAAUAACUUCGUGUUCUUGUUGGGUGGGGAAGAACUGGGCCCAGAUGGCGAAUUCCAUGCUUCUUCCAAAGUGUUCAGGUAUGACCCGAGACAAAACUCUUGGCUCCGGAUGGCAGACAUGUCUGUACCACGUUCAGAAUUUGCAGUUGGUGUUAUUGGAAAGUUUAUUUACGCUGUAGCAGGCAGAACCAGAGAUGAGACUUUCUAUUCAACAGAGAGAUAUGAUAUCACGAAUGAUAAGUGGGAAUUUGUGGAUCCUUAUCCAGUUAACAAAUAUGGACAUGAGGGGACAGUGCUCAAUAACAAGUUGUUUAUCACUGGUGGAAUCACCUCAUCUUCCACCUCCAAACAAGUGUGCGUGUUUGACCCCAGUAAAGAAGGGACCAUAGAACAGCGGACCAGGAGAACUCAAGUAGUUACCAACUGUUGGGAGAAUAAGAGCAAAAUGAAUUACGCUAGAUGCUUUCACAAGAUGAUUUCUUACAACGGCAAGCUUUAUGUCUUCGGUGGUGUCUGUGUGAUCUUGAGGGCCUCUUUUGAGUCUCAGGGAUGCCCUUCCACAGAAGUGUACAACCCAGAGACUGAUCAGUGGACCAUCUUGGCGUCCAUGCCAAUUGGUAGAAGUGGCCAUGGUGUGACUGUGCUGGACAAACAGAUAAUGGUUCUUGGAGGUCUUUGCUACAAUGGUCAUUACAGCGAUUCUAUUCUCACUUUUGACCCGGAUGAAAACAAAUGGAAGGAAGAUGAGUACCCGCGGAUGCCCUGCAAGCUGGAUGGUUUACAAGUAUGCAACCUGCAUUUUCCAGAAUAUAUACUGGACGAGGUCAGACGUUGCAAUUAAUGGCAUCUUUCUCCCUUCAAAAAAGCCAAACAAAAAAUGUUUGAGACAAAGUAGUUAAUUAAGAAACAUAAGAAAAACCUCACUAGUUUUGCUAUCAAAGCCAUUGGUCUAAUAUAUAAAAAUAAUUUCAUUCUGUUCUCACAUCCUUUUUUUUCUUUUUAGUGGCCUCAAACUCAUGCAAUAAGUCAAUUCUAAGCACUAGCUCUUGAAACUACUUCCAGAAGCAGUUUAAUAGAAUGAUUCACUUAUCUGGGAAGUUGAUGUUAUGCUUUAAACAUUUCUUUCAAAUGUCAGUGUAGGAGUCAUGCAUCUUCUAAGAGAAGACCUGAAAAGUGUCACUGGAUGUAAUUUCAGUUCCUAUCUCUAUCUGAAAUCUUUUUGAACAUUUAUUUCAGUGUAUUGCAGUCUGUUAGACUUUUUGAUUUUAUUUUUUAAGUUUAACACUCUUGACCUUUUUGCAUGGCUUUUUGCUGAAAAUGCAAAAAUAUAAAUUUUCUAUAAAUUUAACUUUUUUAUAUUCAGAACACUAUUUCUAAGCUGCCUUCUCUUAUCUGCAUUGUGUUAGUGAAUGCAUAUCCAUACUUGCUUACAUCUUAUGAAUAUAUAAGGCACAUCCCCUUUUAUGCGUGGUUAGGAUUCUAUAUUUUUAAGCUAGUGCACUUGCACACACGGUUUGCCAUACUUGUUGUAUUCUAGAUGUAAUGUCUUUUCAUGUAUUAACAUUUUUGGAAAGUUAAAAUAACUGGAGUCCUUGUUUGGUAUCAGAGUAGCCUAUCUUCAGUCCAUACUGAUUCAGUAAUAUUCAAACUGCUUAUAUUCCUGAAACAUGUAUGGUUUUAUGAAAACUAACUUUUUUUUUUUUUUUUGCGGUACGCGGGCCUCUCACCAUUGUGGCCUCUCCCGUUGCGGAGCACAGGCUCCGGACGCGCAGGCUCAGCGGCCAUGGCUCACGGGCCCAGCCGCUCCGCGGCAUGUGGGAUCUUCCCGGACCGGGGCACGAACCCGUGUCCCCUGCAUCGGCAGGCGGACUCUCAACCACUGAGCCACCAGGGAAGCCCUGAAAACUAACAUUUUAUGUUUUAUUUUCAAAAGUAAACGUUAAUGUUGCUCAUCGAUGUAUGUCUUCUUUUUGAAAAUGUUUUUCUUUGCAGUCUGUUUAAUGUUACCCUGUUUUUAGUGAGAAUUGGAGUGGUAUAUGACAAGCCCUGGCCCUGCAGCGUGCAAGCACUUUUAAAGAGAAUUUAGGUAAUACCAGAGUCCUAAAUAAAGGCCCCUUAAAAGUAAGUGCAACUCCCGUUCUUUACAUUCAAUAAGGCUGCUGCAUCUGUUAUUGAAUGGAAAGUAGCAACUUGUGGAAAAUUUGAGCUCAGUUUUGACUUAGAGGUAAGGAGUAGAAUUAUAAUCUUAACUGGUCAUAUCUACUUGUUUAUUUAGUACAAAAUAUUUAGUGGCACUGGGGAUGUAAGCCCUCAGCUUUUGUUUUAUUUACUGAAAGCUACUAGCAUGAAGGAUAGUAACCUCAAAGUUCAGAAUGGAUCAAGAAUAACUGUUUUAAAGCAUUUAUAAUAAGUGUUUUAGGAUUAGCCGCACCUUUCAACUCUUUAAACUCGAAGAAAAAACAUAUAGUUGUCAAAAUUAAGCAAGAAUAACCAGGGAGUGGAUCAUUCAAAUUGAUGCCAUUUUCUUCUGAGUAGACUCUAUAUAUGAUACAGUCUAGAUCUACACUGGCAAAACUUGCCAGACCUUAGGAUAUUGGUGCAAUAUUGCAAUGCCUUCUAUAUGGCUGUUGUAUAAAUUUUCUAGUUUCACUUUUUUUUUUUUUUUUUGCUGCUGCCACCACUGAAUAUGAAAUGGAAGAGUGAAGUCAUGGAAAUGUGAAGACUUGUUUCAGUUUUGCAAUUAAAAUAGACAAUUAUGAAAAAACCCUGAUUUUAAAACUCUACAACUGGAGGCUAGAAACAGUCAGCAGCACCUUUGGACACCUCAUUCUGGGAAGCCUGCUCGAGUCAUAGGAAAGGACACACACAUUUGUGUGGGCAGAAGUGGUAAAAAUGGUUUUGUCUUAAUUACAUGAAACUAAGCUUUAAAAUAUUUUAUAACAAAUUAUUUGAGCUGCAUUAUCUAAACAUGUCAGACGUUCAGUGGGACUAUUUUUAUAUAUGUAUAUGUGGUUGUAGGUCAUAACAUUUCAGUUUAUAAUAUAAUUUGUUAUUUCAGUUUAUAAGCUAUCUCUCAGAAAAGACUAGCUCUUUUGAGAAUACGUAAUUUAAAAUUUUAGACUGAAGUAAAACACAACAUAGAUAAUAGUGUAAAUUAGAUAUAAAUGAGGGCUAUAUGGCAGUAAAACUGCUAGUGCCAUUUUUCCUGUUUGCCUAUUAUACAUUUUUUUUUUGUACUCUGAACAUUUUUAGGGAUCAUGCAUUCUAUCAGAUUAGAGUUGGUUUGGGGAUAAAUAUCUUCUAAAAAGAGAUUUAUCUUAAAAAUGAAAGUUCUGAAAAAUUAGUUUAUCAAGAGUUUAUAAAGUCAAAUAUUCAAUAGACAUAGACUGGAAUAGGUAAACUCAUGGAAGUCGUUUCCUUUCAGUAUACCAGUAUAACUUCAAUAUUACACGAGUAACAUUGAGAGAAUGCCAUCAGCUUUGUUUGUUCCUCCUUAAUGUUCUUAGAUUUUCUUUUUACAUCUUUGGGAACAACUACAUUAAAAACCUUAUUAAUCAGUAUAUCAGUAAGGAUUAGGUGUUUGCUUUCUGAAGGAAUGUUCCAGUGAGGUGAUCAGAGAGGUUAUUUUCUAUCUAACUUGUAUAUGCCCUAUACCCCUUGGGCAUAUUUUGUCUAUAGAAAAAAUAUUUUGACCUUUAGGUACAUUUUGGGCCAGUAGUCAAAUAAUCCUAGGGCCGAUUUAAAAAUCUUAGAAUAAUUUAAGGUUUGCCUUUUAUACCUGUUUUGGAAGCCUUUACAUUUUUGUCAGGUAAUUUUUCCCAAGCCGUGAAUAUAAUCUAUUCAAAACAUGUUUAUG
Molecule: RNA transcript, 5255 nt
Organism: Mesoplodon densirostris (Blainville's beaked whale)
Lineage: Eukaryota; Metazoa; Chordata; Mammalia; Artiodactyla; Ziphiidae
Gene: KLHL15
Gene name: kelch like family member 15
Exons: 4
Source: RefSeq, a predicted model, not a curated record